GUCCCUUCGAUCAAACUCCGACGAAAACAAGUUCAGAAAAUCGUCACCGGAGUUAUGAAUUUUUACGGUUUAUGCUUCUACACAACAAGUCAUCCCCAUCUCCAACCUCCAAUCGACCAAAGUCAUGAUAUACCGAAAUUCAAUAGCUAAAGGACCUCACUGACCAUGACGAUGAGCAGAAUGAUCAGAAAACAACUUUCUGCACCAUUGAGUGGAUCAAUUUUACUUCAUCGAAAAUGUUCUUUUUAAGAGCACAAAUAGUACCUUUCUCUAACUUGGUUUUAGUCCAUUCAAGAUGGGCCUGAUCAUUGAAGAUGAGUCACUGAAAGGGCUGUAUUUAUAUUAUAAAUGCAUUCAAAAUCUAAAUGGACGAGCUGUUUGAAAGGAGUUCUUUCUGGGAAGAUGGUGAUGCGUUCGGUUGAGUAAUAUGUGAGUUUCUGUAGAUAUCACUUCUUCAUAUCUCAUAUCAAGUUGAAAGUAUGAGUCAUUUUAUUACUUUUUGAUUUUUGUAAUCGAGGCUGUUUUGUUCCCAACAGAUGUUAGGCUUUUUACCCACCUAUUCUUGUAAACAAGUGACAUUCAACUCGUAAUGCAUUCUGUAACAAGACAAUCAAUCAAAAGAUAUAGACAAACGAAUAAGAACCUGUAGUACUUCUGCUAUUGGAUCUUAGGGGCCGUUUACCAAACGCUUACCGUGUAAGUGCUA
Cynara cardunculus var. scolymus (artichoke) is the source of this 706-nucleotide long non-coding RNA. RefSeq lists it as uncharacterized. Lineage: Eukaryota; Viridiplantae; Streptophyta; Magnoliopsida; Asterales; Asteraceae. The record is from RefSeq and is a predicted model, not a curated record. The transcript has 3 exons.